GACGAACGCUGGCGGCGUGCUUAACACAUGCAAGUCGAACGGAAAGGCCCUGCUUUUGUGGGGUGCUCGAGUGGCGAACGGGUGAGUAACACGUGAGUAACCUGCCCUUGACUUUGGGAUAACUUCAGGAAACGGGGGCUAAUACCGGAUAGGAGCUCCUGCUGCAGGGUGGGGGUUGGAAAGUUUCGGCGGUUGGGGAUGGACUCGCGGCUUAUCAGCUUGUUGGUGGGGUAGUGGCUUACCAAGGCUUUGACGGGUAGCCGGCCUGAGAGGGUGACCGGCCACAUUGGGACUGAGAUACGGACCAGACUCCUACGGGAGGCAGAAGUGGGGAAUAUUGCACAAUGGGCGGAAGCCUGAUGCAGCAACGCCGCGUGCGGGAUGACGGCCUUCGGGUUGUAAACCGCUUUCGCCUGUGACGAAGCGUGAGUGACGGUAAUGGGUAAAGAAGCACCGGCUAACUACGUG
RNAcentral lists this ribosomal RNA (468 nucleotides) under uncultured bacterium. RNAcentral's name for it is "partial 16S ribosomal RNA". It matches the Rfam family "Bacterial small subunit ribosomal RNA", at positions 28 to 507 of the family's 1533-position model. The record is from RNAcentral.